UGUUCCCAAGACCAAACGCAUCUCACACCCUUCACCUGGCGACUCUUCCCAUGGCCGACCGACCUAGGUCGCGAACGGUACGGGAGCGAUGGCCAUGGCGAUCCGGGUGACUGGACGAGACGUAGCCGUCCCGGCACAGCCGCCGACCACGACCUCGGGCAGUGGUGCCUCUCCCUUGUUCUCGUUUUCUAGCGGUAGCCCCUAGCUUGCCAGAUGGCAGCACCGGCCAUCUCCGUCGCUUCGCCCUCCUCAACGGCAUGUUCUCCGUCUACCUGGAGUGCUCAGAGCCUCCUUCAAGGUGGAACGCCACCGCCGCUGCCAUCCAGCCCGACCCUAUGUUUCCGAUACUGGCCUUGUGGAUCUAGAGCAUAUCGGAGGUGCACAACCAGCACAAACGCGCUACAACGAGCAGCAUCAAGGGAUUUGGUUUUUGCGCUUAUCUACUUCGUCAUGAUACCCUCUCCUCCUCUGGACGUUGAUGUCAAAUUCUCUCCUCCAAGAGCCAAUUGCAGGUCAAAGUGUUCUGCUAUGAGCUAAAGGAAAUAUUUAUGGAGGAAACUACUGUUCAGGUAUCCAUGGGAUAAAAUUUGACCGACUCUUUGCUGAAAUUUAUUUCAGUACUAACGCAUAACCAAGUAAUGAUAUCUACCUUGAGAGCUUCAAGAAGGAUGUACUGGAUGCAUGCUAGGUGUACUGGCAUUUUACGCAUCUUCACAUUUAUUUCAGUUAUCACUUUUGUUCUCAUACUAUUUGUCUUUCAUCUCGCACAUGAUGUUACUCGUUGUAUCAGUUAUGCUGUCUCCCCAGGAGUUUUACAUUUUUGUGACCAGGUGCAUAAGGCUCACCUAUUUCUUCUUUGUUUUUAAACAUGGCAGCCCUUUGGUAGAGGCUUGUGAAGAUGCCAUUUCUACACCAUGUACACAAUCUAUGCUUAUUAGUUGUCUUUGGAGUGCUGAGUAGGCCUAUUUACUAUCUAAAUUGUUGUGUAUGUUGUUA
Aegilops tauschii subsp. strangulata is the source of this 996-nucleotide long non-coding RNA. RefSeq lists it as uncharacterized. Lineage: Eukaryota; Viridiplantae; Streptophyta; Magnoliopsida; Poales; Poaceae. The record is from RefSeq and is a predicted model, not a curated record.